CUCCAGCAUCUCGAAGCAGGCCCUCAGUGAGAUCGAGACCAGGCACAGUGAGAUCAUCAAGUUGGAGAACAGCAUCCGGGAGCUACACGAUAUGUUCAUGGACAUGGCCAUGCUGGUGGAGAGCCAGGUGAGGACCCUCGUCCCCGAUGUUGCCCUCGGUCCCAGCAACAUCCAGGGCCACACUAACCCCUUCCCUUUCCACCCAACACGCUGCCCUGCCCGGGAGGGACAGAGUAUCUUCAGGUAACCAUACUGUUGUAAGGGCCUCCAGGGAUCCCGUUGCAUGGCUCUGCUUGCUCCCCUAGGCCCUGCAUGGCCCCACCUCUCCCUCCAGCCCUGUCCUGGCUUCAUGAACUACAUCAAGGGCCACUAUAGACUGGCUGCCUUGCUUGGAACAAAAGGCAUAGCAAUGACCAUGCAUGUGCGUGUGUGCGUGGACCUUAUACUUUUGAGACAGGGUCUCUUGUUGAAUCUGGAGUUUACCAAGUCACCUAUACUGGCUAGCCAGUGAGCCACAGAUCCCCUUGUUUCCAGCUCCCAGAAGUUGGGUUACAGGUAUGUGCCACUGUACCUGACUUUUUACAUAGGCGCUGAGGACCAAAACCAAGGUGCUUGUCAACUGAGCCAUCUCAGUCCCCAUUACCUGACUUGCAAGUUUUUCCUUUCUAUUUUUUU
This 675-nucleotide long non-coding RNA is filed under the name Rattus norvegicus (Norway rat). RNAcentral's name for it is "long non-coding RNA NONRATT007884". The record is from RNAcentral. Lineage: Eukaryota; Metazoa; Chordata; Mammalia; Rodentia; Muridae.